This 497-nucleotide ribosomal RNA is filed under the name uncultured bacterium. Its description in RNAcentral is "partial 16S ribosomal RNA". It matches the Rfam family "Bacterial small subunit ribosomal RNA", at positions 28 to 507 of the family's 1533-position model. The record is from RNAcentral.
GAUGAACGCUGGCGGCGUGCCUAAUACAUGCAAGUCGAGCGAACAGACGAGGAGCUUGCUCCUCUGACGUUAGCGGCGGACGGGUGAGUAACACGUGGAUAACCGACCUAUAAGACUGGGAUAACUUCGGGAAACCGGAGCUAAUACCGGAUAAUAUAGUGAACCGCAUGGUUCAAUAGUGAAAGACGGUUUUGCUGUCACUUAUAGAUGGAUCCGCGCCGCAUUAACUAGUUGGUAAGGUAACGGCUUACCAAGGCAACGAUGCGUAGCCGACCUGAGAGGGUGAUCGGCCACACUGGAACUGAGACACGGUCCAGACUCCUACGGGAGGCAGCAGUAGGGAAUCUUCCGCAAUGGGCGAAAGCCUGACGGAGCAACGCCGCGUGAGUGAUGAAGGUCUUCGGAUCGUAAAACUCUGUUAUUAGGGAAGAACAAAUGUGUAAGUAACUAUGCACGUCUUGACGGUACCUAAUCAGAAAGCCACGGCUAACUACGUG